CCUACGGGUGGCAGCAGUAGGGAAUCUUCCGCAAUAGGCGAAAGCCUGACGGAGCAACGCCGCGUGAGUGAAGAAGGAUUUCGGUUCGUAAAGCUCUGUUGUUAGGGAAGAAUGAUUGUGUAGUAACUAUACACAGUAGAGACGGUACCUAACCAGAAAGCCACGGCUAACUACGUGCCAGCAGCCGCGGUAAUACGUAGGUGGCAAGCGUUGUCCGGAAUUAUUGGGCGUAAAGCGCGCGCAGGUGGUUUAAUAAGUCUGAUGUGAAAGCCCACGGCUCAACCGUGGAGGGUCAUUGGAAACUGUUAAACUUGAGUGCAGGAGAGAAAAGUGGAAUUCCUAGGGUAGCGGUGAAAUGCGUAGAGAUUAGGAGGAACACCAGUGGCGAAGGCGGCUUUUUGGCCUGUAACUGACACUGAGGCGCGAAAGCGUGGGGAGCAAACAGGAUUAGAUACCCUUGUAGUC
This 465-nucleotide ribosomal RNA is filed under the name uncultured Caryophanales bacterium. RNAcentral's name for it is "bacterial SSU rRNA". It matches the Rfam family "Bacterial small subunit ribosomal RNA", at positions 338 to 795 of the family's 1533-position model. Lineage: Bacteria; Bacillati; Bacillota; Bacilli; Caryophanales. The record is from RNAcentral.